UUUUCGACCUGACUCAGACGUGAUACCCGCUGAACUUAAGCAUAUCAUUUAGCGGAGA
RNAcentral lists this ribosomal RNA (58 nucleotides) under Tylenchorhynchus sp. YJ2013-2. Its description in RNAcentral is "partial 28S ribosomal RNA". The record is from RNAcentral. Lineage: Eukaryota; Metazoa; Nematoda; Chromadorea; Rhabditida; Telotylenchidae.